CCUACGGGAGGCAGCAGUGGGGAAUAUUGGGCAAUGGAGGAAACUCUGACCCAGCGACGCCGCGUGCGGGAUGAAGGCCUUCGGGUUGUAAACCGCUUUCAGUAGGGAAGAAGCGAAAGUGACGGUACCUACAGAAGAAGCACCGGCUAACUAUGUGCCAGCAGCCGCGGUAAUACAUAGGGUGCAAGCGUUGUCCGGAAUUAUUGGGCGUAAAGAGCUCGUAGGUGGUUCGUCACGUCGGAUGUGAAGAUCUGGGGCUCAACCCCAGACCUGCAUUCGAUACGGGCGAUCUAGAGUGUGGUAGGGGAGACUGGAAUUCCUGGUGUAGCGGUGGAAUGCGCAGAUAUCGGGAGGAACACCAAUGGCGAAGGCAGGUCUCUGGGCCAUUACUGACACUGAGGAGCGAAAGCGUGGGGAGCGAACAGGAUUAGAUACCCUGGUAGUCCACGCCGUAAACGGUGGGCACUAGUUGUGGGAACCUUCCACGGUUUCUGCGACGCNGCUACGCAUAAGUAGCCCGCCGUCGGGAGGUACGAGUCGCGAGAAGUUAAACGUAACGUAAAGGUAAAGUUAGUUACGGCGUGAGAGUGCCGACGGCGACGACGAGGGAGGAGG
Molecule: ribosomal RNA, 615 nt
Filed under: uncultured bacterium
Lineage: Bacteria
Description: bacterial SSU rRNA
Rfam family: Bacterial small subunit ribosomal RNA (bases 1-522)
Source: RNAcentral